This 283-nucleotide ribosomal RNA is filed under the name Catenibacterium mitsuokai DSM 15897. Its description in RNAcentral is "partial 16S ribosomal RNA". It matches the Rfam family "Bacterial small subunit ribosomal RNA", at positions 493 to 776 of the family's 1533-position model. The record is from RNAcentral. Lineage: Bacteria; Bacillati; Bacillota; Erysipelotrichia; Erysipelotrichales; Coprobacillaceae.
UCUUUUAAUUGUUUUCCAGCAGCCGCGGUAAUACGUAGGUGGCGAGCGUUAUCCGGAAUCAUUGGGCGUAAAGAGGGAGCAGGCGGCCGCAAGGGUCUGUGGUGAAAGACCGAAGCUAAACUUCGGUAAGCCAUGGAAACCGGGCGGCUAGAGUGCGGAAGAGGAUCGUGGAAUUCCAUGUGUAGCGGUGAAAUGCGUAGAUAUAUGGAGGAACACCAGUGGCGAAGGCGACGGUCUGGGCCGCAACUGACGCUCAUUCCCGAAAGCGUGGGGAGCAAAUAGG